AUAAUCUAGGCAAACAUGUGAGUGAUGUGUUUGUAAACCUGUUAUUUCUUGUCUCUGAACAGGAUGUUUCUGGGAAGUGUAAGCAACUAUUGCUCAAACCAUGCACAAUGCCCGGUAAUGAUAGUGAAGGGUACUUUUUGACAAACUGUUCCUGGUUAAACAGGACAGAAACCACAUUGUAAUGAUGAAGCACUUUCAUGGUCUUUGGUGAAUCCUGUUCAGUUGAGUCCCAAAUCACACGGCUUAAGGGUACUUUUAUCGAUCACCAAUUCCUUCUACUAUAGUGGUAUACUAUUUCUUUAAUUAAUUUCUGGUGAGAUAGUUUUUAUCGUUCUGCUUGGUAUUUUUAUGCAUUAUUUGUUUGUUGUUUAUUGUACAUUUACUUUUUUGACAACAAAAUUUGUUGUGGUUGUGGCUCUGCAGACUUGGUUUCUGCAUAUUUCCAAUAAUGCUCUCUUGUAAAUUUCUGAAAGAAUUUUCCAUUAUCAUUAAUUAUUGAUUUUGAUGGUUUGCAAGUGGGCUUGGGUUUUAUUUGUUAUCUUUGCUCAAUUUUGGGCAAUAACCCUUUUGCAUUUUUGGUUCCUUUCUUAUCACCUGAAUGAGCACUCAAUUUU
Camellia sinensis is the source of this 614-nucleotide non-coding RNA. The record is from RefSeq and is a predicted model, not a curated record. NCBI's taxonomy places the organism in Eukaryota, Viridiplantae, Streptophyta, Magnoliopsida, Ericales, Theaceae.